Bos taurus (domestic cattle) is the source of this 1875-nucleotide long non-coding RNA. The record is from Ensembl. Lineage: Eukaryota; Metazoa; Chordata; Mammalia; Artiodactyla; Bovidae.
GUCACACAGUCGUGUCUGACUCUUUGUGAUCCCAUGGACAGUAGCCCGCCCGGCUCCUCCGUCCAUGGGAUUCUCCAGGCAAGAAUACUGGAGUGGGUUGCCAUUUCCUUCUCCAGGGGACCUUCCCAACCCAAGGAUCAAACCUGGGUCUCCUGCAUUGUAGGCGGAUUCUUUUCCAUCUGAGCAAAACAUCUUGGUGUCAAAUCUUUUUUUUUUUUUCCCUCUGAGUCUUUCCUAAUGAACCUAUUUGCAUGGCAGCAAACGGUGAGGAGAUACCCCUGGUCCAAGGCCCGUGUGCAUCUGAGUGCUGUGGCCACAGGAGUGCAGUCAUCUGAGUUCUGACUCCGCACCAUCAUGCCUAAUGCUGGGAGAGCUGGCAGAAUGGGUGAUGUCCUGAAAGCUGUUCUCCACUGGGAUGAAUACCAAUGUGUGCCAAGUUGCUUCAGUUGUGUCCAACUCUUUGCGACUUUAUGGACUGUAGCUGCCAGACUUCUCUGUCCAUGGGAUUCUCCAGGCGAGAAUACUGGAGUCUGUUGCCAUGCCGUCCUUCAUGGGAUCUUCCCCACCCAGGGAUCAAACCAGUGUCUCUUAUGUCUCCUGCACUGGCAGCGUCCUCCUGUUGAUGACUGUCAGCGACUGCUCUGGCAGGAGGAGAUGAACGUGUGUCCUUCUACUCCGCCAUCUUGAACUGGAAACUGCGAUCCCCCUUAGCUGGUCUUAGCCUCAGCCGUUUUCCUGUCUUUUUCCAUCCAAGGCCCUGCAGGACCUGUGAACAGUGAUGAGUAGAUUUCAGGAGAUGUAUCCUGGCAGAACAGGUACAAGCGAGGGAGAGUCCCGCUCACUGAGCGUGCUCAUUUGCUUCGGUGGUGUCUGACUCUUUGCAACCUUAUGGACUGUAGCCCACCAGGCUCCUCUGUCCAUGGGAUUCUCCAGCCAAGAAUACUGAACUGGGUUGCCAUGCCCUCCUCCAGGGGGUCUUCUGGACCCAGGGAUCAAACCCAAGUCUCUUAUGUCUGCUGCACUGGCAGGCGUGUUCUUUACCACUAGUGCCGCCUGGGAAGUGGUUAUAAGUUUCCAACAAGGGCCCCUCUCCUAUGUCUGGUACCUUAACCAGGAAUGUGUCCCUCAGGCUUGGGACUUCAUCAACUGAACUGAGGCUCUCCGCUCCACUGAGCGCGACCUCUGUCUAGCAGCAAGCAGAUGUGGCUGAAGGGCUGGUGAACCGACGAUGGCACACAGGGCCAGGUCUGAGGGCCUCUUGGGUCUUCAGUCUCGAGUCGGGCGAGCAAUGAGCACAGCAAGCUUCUGCGGAGAAGCAGGGUGUGUGUAGGCCAGGUGGAAUUCGCUGACGGCGGGGGGAAAGUCCGUGUGCAGGGUGGGGUUAGCGUAAUGUACGCCCUGAGGAUUUAGAACUUUCUUCCUUUCGAGGGGUGUGGCGUGGAACGUUUGAGGUCCACCUCUCGGAAAAGGACCCAAUGGACAACCCGCAGCCUGCUUUGUUUAUGUGCCCAGGAGCGGACGCUGCGUUGGAUGGGACGGGGGCCCCUUGAAAUGGGCAUCUUGUUCUCUAAAUUACGAAUAUCUACUUGGAGACUGGAUUGCCUCACUGUGUUGCUAAGAUCGUGGCCUCUGGAAGCUCUCUGGUUCCGGGAGAGGGGCAGGGGGCAACCUCAACCUCUGAAAGAAAACCCGGUCCUGCCAUGGCUAGUAUGGAAGCCGCUAGCCAACAUGGCUGUUGAGCCCUUGAAAGACGGCUGGUCCAAACUGAAAUAUAAGAGAAAGAUACACUUCAGAUGUAGAAGACUUCCUGUGGGAAAAAAGAAUAGAACAUAGCUUAUUACUAAUUUUAAAACAUUGAUUACAUGUUGAAGUGAC